RNAcentral lists this unclassified non-coding RNA (245 nucleotides) under Homo sapiens (human). RNAcentral describes it as "ERICH1 antisense RNA 1 (ENSG00000282472.1)". The record is from RNAcentral. Lineage: Eukaryota; Metazoa; Chordata; Mammalia; Primates; Hominidae.
GUUUUGCCUGGCAUUCUGCAGAAGCAUUGCUGUAUCUUACCAGACAGGAAUACAGGCAAUGCUGUGAAGCGUCAGAGGGAAUUCCGUUGGUUACUUUCCCAUACGGUCUUGUUCAGCUGCUUGUUCUCAGAAAAGUGUGUUUGUUGGUGGAGGAGAAUGCGACCAAGGAGACCAUCCUUUUCAUGAAGGCACAAACGUGAAUACAUAUGUGACUUUUAAGCCUUUAAAUAAAAACCCAAAGCACA